AGCUCCAAUAGCGUAUAUUAAAGUUGUUGCAGUUAAAAAGCUCGUAGUUGGAUUUCUGGUGUGAGGGAACGGUCCGACCUCUGGUGGGUACUUGCUUCCUCUCACGCCAUCCUUGAGUGGUGCGUUCUGGCAUUCAGUUGUCGGGACGUUAGCCGCUCAUCGUUUACUGUGAGAAAAUUAGAGUGUUCAAAGCAGGCUUAUGCCGUUGAAUAUAUUAGCAUGGAAUAAUAAGAUAGGACUUCGGUACUAUUUUGUUGGUUUGCGCACCGAUGUAAUGAUCAAUAGGGACAGUUGGGGGUAUUCGUAUUCAGUUGUCAGAGGUGAAAUUCUUGGAUUUCCGAAAGACGAACUACUGCGAAAGCAUUUACCAAGGAUGUUUUCA
RNAcentral lists this ribosomal RNA (382 nucleotides) under uncultured marine Chaetocerotaceae. RNAcentral describes it as "SSU rRNA". It matches the Rfam family "Eukaryotic small subunit ribosomal RNA", at positions 587 to 972 of the family's 1831-position model. The record is from RNAcentral. Lineage: Eukaryota; Bacillariophyta; Thalassiosirophyceae; Chaetocerotales; Chaetocerotaceae.